This 254-nucleotide ribosomal RNA is filed under the name uncultured bacterium. RNAcentral describes it as "partial 16S ribosomal RNA". It matches the Rfam family "Bacterial small subunit ribosomal RNA", at positions 524 to 776 of the family's 1533-position model. The record is from RNAcentral.
UACGGAGGGUGCGAGAGUUAUCCGGACUCACAGGGUUUAAAGGGUGCGUCGGCGGCGGGAGAAGACAGUUGUGAAAUCGCUGGGCUCAACCCAUGCAAUUGCGAGUGAUACUGUUCUGCUUGAAGCAGGGUGAGGUAAGCGGAAUGUGGCGUGUAGCGGUGAAAUGCAUAGAUAUGCCAUAGAACACCGAUUGCGAAGGCACCUUGCUGGGCCUGUUUUGACGCUGAGGCACGAAAGCGUGGGGAGCAAAUAGG